ACUUGAACCUACUUAAUAUUUAUAUAUUAAUAAUGAGUAUCCUUAAAUGUUCAGUAAUUCCGGAUUUAACCAGUCCUUAUCUCUGCAGCAAAAUAUAUAAUAUGUUGUCCUAAUCGCGAUAGACAUAAUUUUCCUGAUAGCGAAAUGUUGGUGUCCUUUAUCAAGACCUAGAUCAUUUAACAUAUCUAAAAAGGAAUGAAAUUCUUUUGAGAAAACGCCUAAAGAACUAAUUGACAAAUUUACAAAUUUUACGGACUUAAAUUGUUUCUUUUGCUGUGUA
Molecule: non-coding RNA, 280 nt
Organism: Paramuricea clavata
Lineage: Eukaryota; Metazoa; Cnidaria; Anthozoa; Malacalcyonacea; Plexauridae
Source: the annotation of a GenBank genome assembly